Pteropus alecto (black flying fox) is the source of this 332-nucleotide long non-coding RNA. RefSeq lists it as uncharacterized. NCBI's taxonomy places the organism in Eukaryota, Metazoa, Chordata, Mammalia, Chiroptera, Pteropodidae. The transcript has 2 exons. The record is from RefSeq and is a predicted model, not a curated record.
GGGGUGGCAGCCGUUGGAAUUCAAAAGUGGCGGGUGUGGCGUCGUGUUGGUGGCCUCCGGAACCUAGAGCGCUGGUGCUGUGUUGCGAGCGGGCGAGAGAACGCGGGUCUGGGGAGUCCCGGCUCCCGGUCCUCAUCCAUUGCGCACCCCCCCACCCCGGCACGUGUGGCACGGAGCUGGACAUGGAGCCGCAAAGGUCCCCUUUGUUGGAAGUGAAGGGAAACAUAGAAUCGAAGAGACCCCUGGUCAAGGCUCCUUCCCGACUGCCUCUCCCAGGAAGCAGAUUGAAGAGGGGGCCUGACCAGAUGGAGGAUGCCUUGGAGCCUAAGAAG